GCUGAGACCAGUCGAAGAUACCAGCUGGCUGCAACUGUUUAUUAAAAACACAGCACUGUGCAAACACGAAAGUGGACGUAUACGGUGUGACGCCUGCCCGGUGCCGGAAGGUUAAUUGAUGGGGUUAUCCGUAAGGAGAAGCUCUUGAUCGAAGCCCCGGUAAACGGCGGCCGUAACUAUAACGGUCCUAAGGUAGCGAAAUUCCUUGUCGGGUAAGUUCCGACCUGCACGAAUGGCGUAAUGAUGGCCAGGCUGUCUCCACCCGAGACUCAGUGAAAUUGAACUCGCUGUGAAGAUGCAGUGUACCCGCGGCAAGACGGAAAGACCCCGUGAACCUUUACUAUAGCUUGACACUGAACAUUGAGCCUUGAUGUGUAGGAUAGGUGGGAGGCUUUGAAGCGUGGACGCCAGUCUGCGUGGAGCCAACCUUGAAAUACCACCCUUUAAUGUUUGAUGUUCUAACGUUGGCCCCUUACCGGGGUUGCGGACAGUGUCUGGUGGGUAGUUUGACUGGGGCGGUCUCCUCCCAAAGCGUAACGGAGGAGCACGAAGGUUAGCUAAUCCUGGUCGGACAUCAGGAGGUUAGUGCAAUGGCAUAAGCUAGCUUGACUGCGAGCGUGACGGCGCGAGCAGGUGCGAAAGCAGGUCAUAGUGAUCCGGUGGUUCUGAAUGGAAGGGCCAUCGCUCAACGGAUAAAAGGUACUCCGGGGAUAACAGGCUGAUACCGCCCAAGAGUUCAUAUCGACGGCGGUGUUUGGCACCUCGAUGUCGGCUCAUCACAUCCUGGGGCUGAAGUAGGUCCCAAGGGUAUGGCUGUUCGCCAUUUAAAGUGGUACGCGAGCUGGGUUUAGAACGUCGUGAGACAGUUCGGUCCCUAUCUGCCGUGGGCGCUGGAGAAUUGAGGGGGGCUGCUCCUAGUACGAGAGGACCGGAGUGGACGCAUCACUGGUGUUCGGGUUGUCAUGCCAAUGGCACUGCCCGGUAGCUAAAUGCGGAAGAGAUAAGUGCUGAAAGCAUCUAAGCACGAAACUUGCCCCGAGAUGAGUUCUCCCUGAGACUUUAAGUCUCCUGAAGGAACGUUGAAGACGACGACGUUGAUAGGCCGGGUGUGUAAGCGCAGCGAUGCGUUGAGCUAACCGGUACUAAUGAACCGUGAGGCUUAACCUU
RNAcentral lists this ribosomal RNA (1167 nucleotides) under Klebsiella pneumoniae. RNAcentral describes it as "partial 23S ribosomal RNA". It matches the Rfam family "Bacterial large subunit ribosomal RNA", at positions 1766 to 2925 of the family's 2925-position model. The record is from RNAcentral. RNAcentral also lists the same sequence under 1 other name. Lineage: Bacteria; Pseudomonadati; Pseudomonadota; Gammaproteobacteria; Enterobacterales; Enterobacteriaceae.